GACGAACGCUGGCGGCGUGCUUAACACAUGCAAGUCGAACGGAAAGGCCCUGCCUUUGUGGGGUGCUCGAGUGGCGAACGGGUGAGUAACACGUGAGUAACCUGUCCUUGACUUUGGGAUAACUUCAGGAAACUGGAGCUAAUCCCGGAUAGGAGCUCCUGCUUCUUGGUGGGGGUUGGUAAGUUUCGGUGGUUGGGGGUGGACUCGCGGCUUAUCAGCUUGUUGGUGGGGUAGUGGCUUACCAAGGCUUUGACGGGUAGCCGGCCUGAUAGGAUGACCGGCCACACUGGGACUGAGCUACGACCCAGACCACAACGGGAGGCAGCGGUGGGGAAGAUUGCAUAAUGGGCGGGAGCAUGAUGCAGCAACGCCGCGUGCGGGAUGACGGGCUUCGGGUUGUAAUCCGCUUUCGCCUGUGACGAGGCGUGAGUGACGGUACUGGGUAAAGAAGCACCGGCUAACUACGUG
RNAcentral lists this ribosomal RNA (468 nucleotides) under uncultured bacterium. Its description in RNAcentral is "partial 16S ribosomal RNA". It matches the Rfam family "Bacterial small subunit ribosomal RNA", at positions 28 to 507 of the family's 1533-position model. The record is from RNAcentral.